GCCCCAUCAGAUGGGCCGACGUUCAGCUGAUAGCUAUCUGGCAGACAGCAAGGCCCAGCAGGAGAGGGUGGUGGGGCUCGGAGCUCUGACCUGAGGUGCCCCACUGGAAGUCACUGCUCGGAUGCACGGGGCUGGACGCCCAGCACGCGCCCUGCCCGGCAGCCUCAUGCGCCCUCGUGGUUUUAUCUGGGGUUACAUCUCGCCCCGUCUGUGGCCUGGCUCUCGCCCCAUGCCCACGGCGCAGCCUCUCACCCUGGAGAUGAAGAUGUGUGAGAGGGCCCAGCUCAUGGGGUGAGGCAGACACCUGCGAAUGGGAUUCACGGAAGCCAGCAGGACGAUCAGGCGCUGCCUAAAAUAGCUGGUAGGAAAUGCUGAGGAGAGGGGGUGGAUCUGGCAUGAAACUUGUUCAUGAGCUCAGCCCUUGAGCUAGACCAGCCCUUUCUUGCAUAAAACGGUGGUGUUUGUCUCCACAUGAAGCACUCUCUCCAGGAACAAAUACAUGCUUCAAACCCCCCGACAGCACCAAUGGUUUUAUUUUUCCCAGGUAGUCCUCUUCUGACUCGAGCACUUGUAAAGGUUGGAUUUCUUCAGGAUCUCUCACUGAAGCUGCGUUACUUACUCUGGAUCCCAUAUACCCCUGGAAUGAGGCAUGGAUGCUCCCUUGUCCCUGGUGGAUCCGCUGAGCAUGUUUAUAGCUGGAGAGUCCCAGUCUCGUCGUGCUCUUUCUGAGGUGGAAGAUGUUUCAAAUCUGGCCUCACAGAGCACAAAGCAUUUAGCUCCACUGAGCACAGGAUCUGGCAAAGCAGGCUGUCAAGGUAGGCAGGCAGAACAGUGCUCCUGAACGUCCAGUGGGUGACUGAGGUGCAGUGUGUUUGAGGACACUUAUACUUCCUCCCCCUUUUCUGGCAGCUUUAAAGUGAGAUGAAGAACCAGCUGAGGUGUAAGGAUCAUGGACGUCCUUGGUGCACACUAAGAGGACGCUACAUGGUUAGUGGCUGCAGCAGGCAAGUCAGUCAUUACAACUAACUGGUGGUAAUGGCAGGAGUGCAGCAUGGAAAUGUGAAUUUGUCUGAAAUGCACAGCCAUAAACUACAAAUUAUGGAAAAAAAAUCCUGUUGUGUGUGACAUGUUUCCUGAAAAAAUUAACAUAGUUUAUUUGUACAUCAGUAUAUUUAAGAUGUCAUGUGUUUGACUUUCUCCUCUCAUUUACAGUAGAUUAAAUCUCAAAUAUCCAUUAAAGUUGAAGUCAUAGCACCAGUGUGAAACUGCAGUGAACUUAAGGUAUCUCAGGUGGUUUAGCAGUGGAAAAGUGUGGAUGACUGCAAGCUGCAACAUGAAGUUGCAAUCUUUUCAGCUUUGUCCUCUAAUGAUUUGGAGUGAUUCAUUCAUCUUGUUGGCUCAGUCCCUGGUUUAUUCUGAAGGAAGUGCAUGCCAAAACAGAUGGUCAUGUGAACAUCUGCCUACUUUCCAACACUGACUGCCACAUUUUUCUAGUAAGUCAGAAACCAAAGCAAGCUUAAUCCAGUUCUGACUUUGAUACCUGCACUAGUUAUCUGUG
Molecule: long non-coding RNA, 1558 nt
Filed under: Anas platyrhynchos platyrhynchos (common mallard)
Lineage: Eukaryota; Metazoa; Chordata; Aves; Anseriformes; Anatidae
Description: lncRNA (ENSAPLG00000016460.1)
Source: RNAcentral